AACUAUGUGCCAGCAGCUGCGGUAAUACAUAGGUCGCGAGCGUUAUUCGGAUUUAUUGGGCGUAAAGCAAGCGCAGGCGGAUGGCUAAGUUCUAUGUUAAAAGCGGCUGCUCAACAGUCGUUUGCAUAGAAUACUAGCCGUCUAGAAUGUGGUAGGAAGUUUUGGAAUUAAAUAUGGAGCGGUGGAAUGUGUAGAUAUAUUUAAGAACACCAGAGGCGAAGGCGAAAACUUAGGCCAUUAUUGACGCUUAGGCUUGAAAGUGUGGGUAGCAAAUGGGAUUAGAUACCCCAGUAGUCCACACCGUAAACGAUGGGUAUUGGGUGUCGGGGCUUGAGCCUCGGUGCUGUAGCUUACGUGUUAAAUACCCCGCCUGGGUAGUACAUAUGCAAAUAUGAAACUCAAAGGAAUUGACGGGGACCUGAACAAGUGGUGGAACAUGUUGCUUAAUUCGAUAAUACACGAAAAACCUUACCAAGGUUUGACAUCCCUCGCGAAUCCAUAGAAAUAUGGUGGAGGUUAUCGAGGUGACAGGUGGUGCAUGGUUGUCGUCAGCUCGUGUCAUGAGAUGUUUGGUUAAGUCCCGCAACGAGCGCAACCCUACUCUUUAGUUACCUUUCUAAAGAGACUGAACAGUAAUGUAUAGGAAGGUUGGGAUCACGUCAAAUCAUCAUGCCCCUUAUGCCUUGGGCCGCAAACGUGUUACAAUGGCGAGUACAAUGUGUCGCAAUCUAGCGAUAGUGAGCUAAUCACUAAAACUCGUCUCAGUCCGGAUAAAAGGCUGCAAUUCGCCUUUUUGAAGUUGGAAUCACUAGUAAUCCCGUGUCAGCUAUAUCGGGGUGAAUACGUUCCCAGGUCUUGUACAC
RNAcentral lists this ribosomal RNA (863 nucleotides) under uncultured Mycoplasma sp. RNAcentral's name for it is "bacterial SSU rRNA". It matches the Rfam family "Bacterial small subunit ribosomal RNA", at positions 499 to 1388 of the family's 1533-position model. The record is from RNAcentral. Lineage: Bacteria; Bacillati; Mycoplasmatota; Mollicutes; Mycoplasmatales; Mycoplasmataceae.